CAAGGAGUAGUUUAAAAAAAAUAUUAAUUUUGGAGAUUAAUGAUGGGAUGUUUUCCUCUUUGA
RNAcentral lists this transfer RNA (63 nucleotides) under Nigidius miwai. Its description in RNAcentral is "tRNA-Pro". Lineage: Eukaryota; Metazoa; Arthropoda; Insecta; Coleoptera; Lucanidae. The record is from RNAcentral.